GCUGCAUACCCCGAUAAUUCUUUAUGCCCUUAUCACCGCCAACCUUUUUCAGCUGCUGAGCUUCCUUUGAGGCCUUUGGGAUGACCUCCUCCACCUCUAAAGACCUUAGCUUGCUCCUUUGCACCACCCUAAAGUUUAUUGUAGGCACCCUUCUGCUUGACAACUAUAUCAAUUAUUGUCUUGGACUUCUCUGGAGAAACUAUAACAUUUCUAAACCGGCACUCAUUGCUAUUGAAAUCCUCUCCACCUAAAUCCAAAGUCCAUCUGAUACCAUAGAAGUCAACCUAUACCCAAGUC
Molecule: long non-coding RNA, 297 nt
Filed under: Elaeis guineensis (African oil palm)
Lineage: Eukaryota; Viridiplantae; Streptophyta; Magnoliopsida; Arecales; Arecaceae
Description: long non-coding RNA (EGUI_LNC020141)
Source: RNAcentral